This 254-nucleotide ribosomal RNA is filed under the name uncultured bacterium. Its description in RNAcentral is "partial 16S ribosomal RNA". It matches the Rfam family "Bacterial small subunit ribosomal RNA", at positions 524 to 776 of the family's 1533-position model. The record is from RNAcentral.
CACGGGGGGAGCAAGCGUUGUUCGGAAUCACUGGGCGUAAAGCGCACGCAGGCGGAUCGUUAAGUCAGGGGUGAAAUGCCGAGGCUCAACCUCGGAACUGCCUUUGAUACUGGCGAUCUUAGAGUCCGGGAGAGGUGAGUGGAACUCCGAGUGUAGAGGUGAAAUUCGUAGAUAUUCGGAAGAACACCAGUGGCGAAGGCGGCUCACUGGCCCGGUACUGACGCUCAGGUGCGAAAGCGUGGGGAGCAAACAGG